GCCUUCUUUAGGAACCACUUGGUAGUUUCCAGACUCAACUUACUUUCCUUUCACAAUGCCUUUGGGUAAGCCCUUUAAAAUCAAUCCCAAAUAUUUUCCCUUCAUGUAACUCCUGGUCAUAGUUAGAGUUGGGAACAACUUUUGCAGAAAGCUGUUUCUGAACAUUGCACAGGAAUAAGAGCCUUCUUUUCCUCUUCCCUUUUAUAUUGAGUUCCUUUACUUUGGCAUUGCUAGAUGGAGAGAGCUCGGAACAUCAAGGUGGUUUUGUUUAUUUGGUGGAGGAGGCACAGGACUGAGGACUGAGGACUGGGCAGCCCUGGCCAGGCCCUUUCUGUGACCUCAAGUCUCGGCGAGGCUUCCCUGAUGACUGACAGAUAUCUGAGGGGAGGAUUCUUAGCCAUCUCUGGAUUUAGUUUUACAAACUAAGUACAUGAAUGAAUUCAUUUUAAAAUCCACUCUUGAUCCUACUGUGGCUUCGAUAUGUUGAACAAGUCUCCCUUUCACAUGUGCAACAAAUGUAUAUAAAGCCAUGAGAGAAGAUGACCUCAGCUCUUGAAACUUAUAAACAUUUGAGCCAUCUCCCUCUCGAGGGAAAGCCCCCCAAAGAAUUUCAAACUUCAAGCAGAACUGACAACCAUUUAUACUCUCUGUUUGAAGUUGUAAUUUUUUUUUUUUUAAGCCAAAGAUGAUCUUACGGGUUCAGCCAUUUCCUUAAUGAAAUUAAUAUUUCUCACUGAAUGGUUUCAUGCAAAAGUGCUGGGGAUGUCUGGGGUCUGGAUGUCAUUCCUGUGAUUUUUCUACAUAAGGAAAACUGUAAGCAGGGGCAACCACUAUCCAGGGGUUCAAAAUCUUUUAUGAACUUCAUGCUUCCUUUGUGUGGGUCUCAGAGAGAAUGGAAUUGUGUGUGUGCAUGUGUGGAUACAAGUGACACACCUCUGACUCCUCACCCUCACGCCUCAGGUAACUUAAGCAAAGGGAUUAAAG
Molecule: long non-coding RNA, 984 nt
Filed under: Marmota monax (woodchuck)
Lineage: Eukaryota; Metazoa; Chordata; Mammalia; Rodentia; Sciuridae
Source: RNAcentral